This 581-nucleotide ribosomal RNA is filed under the name uncultured bacterium. RNAcentral's name for it is "bacterial SSU rRNA". It matches the Rfam family "Bacterial small subunit ribosomal RNA", at positions 249 to 844 of the family's 1533-position model. The record is from RNAcentral.
UUGGUAAGGUAAAGGCUUACCAAGGCGACGAUCAGUAGCUGAACUGAGAGGUUGAUCGGCCACAUUGGGACUGAGACACGGCCCAGACUCCUACGGGAGGCAGCAGUGGGGAAUAUUGCGCAAUGGGGGAAACCCUGACGCAGCAACGCCGCGUGAAGGAUGAAGGCUUUCGGGUCGUAAACUUUUGUCUUUGGGGAGGAAUAAAUGACGGUACCCAAGGAGGAAGCCACGGCUAACUACGUGCCUGCAGCCGCGGUAAUACGUAGGUGGCGAGCGUUGUCCGGAUUUACUGGGUGUAAAGGGCGUGUAGGCGGGUAUGCAAGUCAGAUGUGAAAUACCGGGGCUUAACCCCGGGGCUGCAUUUGAAACUGUGUAUCUUGAGUGCAGGAGAGGAAAGUGGAAUUCCUAGUGUAGCGGUGAAAUGCGUAGAUAUUAGGAGGAACACCAGUGGCGAAGGCGACUUUCUGGACUGUAACUGACGCUGAGGCGCGAAAGCGUGGGUAGCGAACAGGAUUAGAUACCCUGGUAGUCCACGCCGUAAACGAUGGAUACUAGGUGUAGGAGGUAUCGACCCCUUCUGU